This is a long non-coding RNA of Oncorhynchus nerka (sockeye salmon), 730 nucleotides long. RefSeq lists it as uncharacterized. The record is from RefSeq and is a predicted model, not a curated record. Lineage: Eukaryota; Metazoa; Chordata; Actinopteri; Salmoniformes; Salmonidae. The transcript has 3 exons.
UUAGUUUAGCGCACCUCCUCGAACCUUUUCGUGCUGUAUGCAUGUCCUGAUUUUCACCACGACUUGCUGUUUUGGUUUCACAAUAAUUAAAUGAACGCACCGACAAUACAAUUGAAUGGGGUGACGUUGGGUAGUACACAGUGACAUAACGACCCUUUUGUGUUAUGGGUUACUGAAUAUAGAACGAGGAAAACACGAUAUGCUUGACUCGAUGAGACAUGUGACCGUAGCUGAAGCAGAGAGGAGCUGAAGGGGGGGGGGGGAUUCACCCAGUGAGCCAUACCAGCCAGAACCGCCACUGAUGCUACCAAACCAUGACCUGGGACCAAUCUUCGCCAAGAUGUCACAGGACCUGGAGUCUGUAACCAUUGACCUCUACACCAACUACCUUGACCCAGUCACUGACCACCUGCCCAUGUUUCCCAUUAGGACACAAGCUGAACUUCAACCUGAGGCUGAACUGCUUUGAAUCAUGGGCAGACACAGAGAGGGAAAGAAGCCGCCAUGUCCCCUCUAACGGAGGACCCCGCAUCAGUGGUGCCUAGACUAUUCUUGGCGCUCUGUUCCUAGUCAGAUGCUCUAUGACCAACAGUCACUUUAUCUAUCAAAUGUAUGGCUACCACUGCAGAUGACCCUGGGCAUGUUAGUGUGUUUGUCUUGUUACAUCACUAGACUUUAAACCAGUAUGUAUAUUUCAGUCCACAUGAACAAUAAAGACCAACUAUGCAUA